Molecule: small nucleolar RNA, 138 nt
Filed under: Mustela putorius furo (domestic ferret)
Lineage: Eukaryota; Metazoa; Chordata; Mammalia; Carnivora; Mustelidae
Description: Small nucleolar RNA SNORA46 (ENSMPUG00000020570.1)
Rfam family: Small nucleolar RNA SNORA46
About the family: ACA46 is a member of the H/ACA class of snoRNA that guide the sites of modification of uridines to pseudouridines.
Source: Rfam by way of RNAcentral
AGCACUAUAUUUAAACCUGUGGAUGGGAAUUUUCCCCAUUCUUGGUUACGCUGUAGUGCAAAAGAAUUCCUGGCUCUUUCUGUUGCACAGCUGACUUUGUGCCGUUCUGCUGUUGCUGGAUAAGGUUAAGGAACAUAA